UUUUCAAAUUCAUCCACCAAAUAGAUCCACCGCUACCCCUAAAACAUAAUCGCAUCUUCCUCUCCAUACCUAGUACUAAGAAUCAUAUACCACAACUUACUGACUCGUUUAGAAUCCUCCAACACCAUUUACCAAGUAACGCUAAGAUAAACUCCUUCAACCUCCUAUACCCAGACCUCCAUUUUCCUUUUUCAAUCAAAUAGUAUCCC
This 209-nucleotide long non-coding RNA is filed under the name Lathyrus oleraceus (garden pea). Its description in RNAcentral is "Pisum sativum (pea) long non-coding RNA (PSAT_LNC023624)". The record is from RNAcentral. Lineage: Eukaryota; Viridiplantae; Streptophyta; Magnoliopsida; Fabales; Fabaceae.